RNAcentral lists this transfer RNA (71 nucleotides) under Crassvirales sp. RNAcentral describes it as "tRNA-Gln". It matches the Rfam family "tRNA". From Rfam's summary of the family: Transfer RNA (tRNA) molecules are approximately 80 nucleotides in length. Their secondary structure includes four short double-helical elements and three loops (D, anti-codon, and T loops). Lineage: Duplodnaviria; Heunggongvirae; Uroviricota; Caudoviricetes; Crassvirales. The record is from RNAcentral.
UGUUCCAUAGUAUAAUGGUAGUACAUAAGAUUUUGGUUCUUAGAGUACAGGUUCGACUCCUGUUGGAACAA